Molecule: ribosomal RNA, 293 nt
Filed under: uncultured eukaryote
Lineage: Eukaryota
Description: partial 18S ribosomal RNA
Rfam family: Eukaryotic small subunit ribosomal RNA
Source: RNAcentral
GGUUGAUCCUGCCAGUAGUCAUAUGCUUGUCCUAAAGAUUAAGCCAUGCAUGUCUAAGUAUAUACCUUUAUACGGUGAAACUGCGAAUGGCUCAUUAUAUCAGUUAUAAUUUACAUGAUGAAAAGUUUACUACAUGGAUAACCGUGGUAAUUCUAGAGCUAAUACAUGCAAAAGUUGCCCGACUUUUUUAGGAAGGGAGCAAUUUAUUAGAUAAAAACCAAUUGCAGUCUUUGACUGGAAGCUGGUGAGUCAUGAUAACUAAAGGGAUCGUAUGGCCUUGAGCCGACGACGCA